Molecule: ribosomal RNA, 635 nt
Filed under: Enterobacter chengduensis
Lineage: Bacteria; Pseudomonadati; Pseudomonadota; Gammaproteobacteria; Enterobacterales; Enterobacteriaceae
Description: partial 23S ribosomal RNA
Rfam family: Bacterial large subunit ribosomal RNA
Source: RNAcentral
AAUGGGUCAGCGACUUAUAUUCUGUAGCAAGGUUAACCGUAUAGGGGAGCCGAAGGGAAACCGAGUCUUAACUGGGCGUUAAGUUGCAGGGUAUAGACCCGAAACCCGGUGAUCUAGCCAUGGGCAGGUUGAAGGUUGGGUAACACUAACUGGAGGACCGAACCGACUAAUGUUGAAAAAUUAGCGGAUGACCUGUGGCUGGGGGUGAAAGGCCAAUCAAACCGGGAGAUAGCUGGUUCUCCCCGAAAGCUAUUUAGGUAGCGCCUCGUGAACUCAUCUUCGGGGGUAGAGCACUGUUUCGGCUAGGGGGCCAUCCCGGCUUACCAACCCGAUGCAAACUACGAAUACCGAAGAAUGUUAUCACGGGAGACACACGGCGGGUGCUAACGUCCGUCGUGAAGAGGGAAACAACCCAGACCGCCAGCUAAGGUCCCAAAGUCAUGGUUAAGUGGGAAACGAUGUGGGAAGGCACAGACAGCCAGGAUGUUGGCUUAGAAGCAGCCAUCAUUUAAAGAAAGCGUAAUAGCUCACUGGUCGAGUCGGCCUGCGCGGAAGAUGUAACGGGGCUAAACCAUGCACCGAAGCUGCGGCAGCGACGCUUAUGCGUUGUUGGGUAGGGGAGCGUUCUGUAAGCC